CAGUAAUUUUUAUCCGUUUUCCGCUUAUAUCCAAUGACGCGAAACUGUCAUCCGACCACCU
This is a non-coding RNA of Caenorhabditis elegans, 61 nucleotides long. The record is from Ensembl. Lineage: Eukaryota; Metazoa; Nematoda; Chromadorea; Rhabditida; Rhabditidae.